UGCAGGAGUCAGAUGCAGUGAGGAAGAGGAUGAAGAGGCUCGCAGAACCAUCAUCUGCUUCUUUAGACACAUUGCGCCCUGCCCUGUUCACCGCUGGGAUUUCUGACAGAAUCUUGCCAAGCUCGCAUGUGUGUGACAGAGAGAAGCACUUCGAGUGUCUACAGAGAGGGAAUUGAGGAAGAAAAGAGAGAAAAAAGUCAAAGUAUUGCACCCACUGUCCUUUUAAGAGCGAUAGAUGUGUGUGUGGCCAGAGAAUGGGAUGACCUGCUCUCUCCAGCUAUGAGCACCUCACCCACCCACCCAUCCCAUGAUGCAGUGCAACCUACCACUAACCGUCCCGAGCAGUUCCUUGGCAUCUGACCCCGC
This 366-nucleotide long non-coding RNA is filed under the name Sinocyclocheilus anshuiensis. Its description in RNAcentral is "lncRNA (ENSSANG00000038155.1)". Lineage: Eukaryota; Metazoa; Chordata; Actinopteri; Cypriniformes; Cyprinidae. The record is from RNAcentral.